GACGAACGCUGGCGGCGGGCUUAACACAUGCAAGUCGAACGGAAAGGCCCUGCUUGUGUGGGGUGCUCGAGGGGCGAACGGGUGAGGAACACGUGAGUAACCUGCCCUUGACUUUGGGAUAACUUCAGGAAACGGGGGCUAAUACCGGAUAGGAGCUCCUGCUGCAUGGUGGGGGUUGGAAAGUUUCGGCGGUUGGGGAUGGACGCGCGGCUUAUCAGCUUGUUGGUGGGGUAGUGGCUUACCAAGGCUUUGACGGGUAGCCGGCCUGAGAGGGUGACCGGCCACAUUGGGACUGAGAUACGGCCCAGACUCCUACGGGAGGCAGCAGUGGGGAAUAUUGCACAAUGAGCGGAAGCCUGAUGCAGCAACGCCGCGUGCGGGAUGACGGCCUUCGGGUUGUAAACCGCUUUCGCCUGUGACGAAGCGUGAGUGACGGUAAUGGGUAAAGAAGCACCGGCUAACUACGUG
Molecule: ribosomal RNA, 468 nt
Filed under: uncultured bacterium
Lineage: Bacteria
Description: partial 16S ribosomal RNA
Rfam family: Bacterial small subunit ribosomal RNA
Source: RNAcentral